CUACGGGUGGCUCCAGUAGGGAAUAUUGGACAAUGGGCGAAAGCCUGAUCCAGCAACACCGCGUGCACGAUGACGGCCUUCGGGUUGUAAAGUGCUUUUAGAGGAGAUGAGAAAGGACAGUAUCCUCUGAAUAAGCCUCGGCGAACUACGUGCCAGCAGCCGCGGUAAAACGUAGGAGGCAAGCGUUAUCCGGAUUUAUUGGGCGUAAAGCGCGUGCAGGCGGUCUAGCAAGUUGGAUGUGAAAGCUCCCGGCUCAACUGGGAGAGGUCGUUCAAUACUGUUAGACUAGAGAAUAGGAGAGGGAGGUGGAAUUCCGGGUGUAGUGGUGAAAUGCGUAGAUAUCCGGAGGAACACCAGUGGCGAAAGCGGCCUCCUGGACUAUUUCUGACGCUAAGACGCGAAAGCUAGGGUAGCAAACGGGAUUAGAUACCCUUGUAGUC
This 440-nucleotide ribosomal RNA is filed under the name uncultured bacterium. Its description in RNAcentral is "partial 16S ribosomal RNA". It matches the Rfam family "Bacterial small subunit ribosomal RNA", at positions 339 to 795 of the family's 1533-position model. The record is from RNAcentral.